GAUGAACGCUGGCGGCGUGCCUAAUACAUGCCAGUCGAGCGAACAGAUAAGGAGCUUGCUCCUUUGACGUUAGCGGCGGACGGGUGAGUAACACGUGGGUAACCUACCUAUAAGACUGGGAUAACUUCGGGAAACCGGAGCCAAUACCGGAUAAUAUUUCGAACCGCAUGGUUCGAUAGUGGAAGAUGGUUUUGCUAUCACUUAUAGAUGGACCCGCGCCGUAUUAGCUAGUUGGUAAGGUAACGGCUUACCAAGGCGACGAUACGUAGCCGACCUGAGAGGGUGAUCGGCCACACUGGAACUGAGACACGGUCCAGACUCCUACGGGAGGCAGCAGUAGGGAAUCUUCCGCAAUGGGCGAAAGCCUGACGGAGCAACGCCGCGUGAGUGAUGAAGGUCUUCGGAUCGUAAAACUCUGUUAUUAGGGAAGAACAUACGUGUAAGUAACUGUGCACGUCUUGACGGUACCUAAUCAGAAAGCCACGGCUAACUACGUG
RNAcentral lists this ribosomal RNA (497 nucleotides) under uncultured bacterium. RNAcentral's name for it is "partial 16S ribosomal RNA". It matches the Rfam family "Bacterial small subunit ribosomal RNA", at positions 28 to 507 of the family's 1533-position model. The record is from RNAcentral.